Molecule: long non-coding RNA, 718 nt
Organism: Myotis brandtii (Brandt's bat)
Lineage: Eukaryota; Metazoa; Chordata; Mammalia; Chiroptera; Vespertilionidae
Exons: 2
Source: RefSeq, a predicted model, not a curated record
ACAGUUUUUAUAAUAAUGUAUUAAAUUCUAUAGCAUAUUUGUUGGGCAUACUUUAAUAAGCACUGAAAAUACAAAAAUGAAUUAGAUCUUGCACUCAAAAGAAUCAAGAAUGUAUUGACUCAAUUGAACCUAAGAAUAAAUUGGUUAAUUUCUAUUUUCUUUCAUCCUAAUAUCCUUAAAUAUAUUUUAUUUAGUGGUAGAAGAUGAUGAAGAUGACUUUCCUACAACGCGUUCUGAUGGAGACUUCUUGCAUAAUACCAAUGGCAAUAAGGAAAAAUUUUCAUCAUGGCUCUCUACUUUUUCCUUAUAACCUAGCUCCCUCCCAAUUUUACAAAAUACUAGCUUAUUACAAAGUUUUCUUAUAACUUUGGACUACAUUGUUGAACCUUAUUGAAUCAUGUAGAUUUAUGUAUUUUUAUGGAAUUAAACGUUUAAUUUGGGAUGGUUUUUUCCCAAUUGCAUUUUAAUUUCACAAUGAAUCUGUUUAAAUAGAAAAAUAUUUUGUUUGCAUAUUGGAAAAAUUAUUGAAAGAAGUUGUAAAACUCAACAGAUCUAGUCUUCCAUUCCACAUAGUAUACUCAACUACCACACCUACAUUUUGCAAAGGAGAAUGGAAGCUUAUUUCCUGUAGAAAUUGAACUGAAGAGUUAGAUUCAGGAAUACCUGGCACAGCAAAAGAUAGGUAUAUCAGUCUAUCAAUAAAGUGAUUAAGUGGAAA